GACGAACGCUGGCGGCGUGCUUAAUACAUGCCAGUCGAACGGAAAGGCCCGGCGUUUGUUGGGUUCUCGAGUGGCGAACGGGUGAGUAACACGUGAGUAACCUGCCCUUGUCUGUGUGAUAUCUUCAGGAAACUGGGGCUAAUACCGGAUAUGAUCUCCUGCUGCAUGGGGGUGGUUGGAAAGUGUCGGCGGUUGGGGAUGGACUCGCGGGUUAUCAGCUUGUUGGUGGGGUAGUGGCUUACCAGGGCUUUGACGGGUAGCCGGCAUGAGAGGGUGACCGGCGACAUUGGGCCUGAGGUACGGCCCAGAAUCCUACGGGACGCAGCAGUGGGGAACAUUGCACAAUGGGGGGACGCCUGAUGCAGAAACGCCGCGUGCGGGAUGCCGGCCUACGGGUUGUAAACCGCUUUCGCAUGUGACGAAGCGUGAGUGACGGUAAUGGGUAAAGAAGCAACGGCUAACUACGUG
Molecule: ribosomal RNA, 468 nt
Filed under: uncultured bacterium
Lineage: Bacteria
Description: partial 16S ribosomal RNA
Rfam family: Bacterial small subunit ribosomal RNA
Source: RNAcentral